GACGAACGCUGGCGGCGUGCUUAACACAUGCAAGUCGAACGGAAAGGCCUUUUCGGAGGUACUCGAGUGGCGAACGGGUGAGUAACACGUGGGUGAUCUGCCCUGCACUCUGGGAUAAGCCUGGGAAACUGGGUCUAAUACCGGAUAGGACCGCACUUUAGUGUGUGUGGUGGAAAGUUUUUUCGGUGUAGGAUGAGCCCGCGGCCUAUCAGCUUGUUGGUGGGGUAAUGGCCUACCAAGGCGGCGACGGGUAGCCGGACUGAGAGGUUGGUCGGCCACAGUGGGACUGAGAUACGGCCCAGACUCCUACGGGAGGCAGCAGUGGGGAAUAUUGCACAAUGGGCGCAAGCCUGAUGCAGCGACGCCGCGUGGGGGAUGACGGCCUUCGGGUUGUAAACUCCUUUCGCCAGGGACGAAGCGUUUUGUGACGGUACCUGGAGAAGAAGCUCCGGCUAACUACGUG
Molecule: ribosomal RNA, 463 nt
Filed under: uncultured bacterium
Lineage: Bacteria
Description: partial 16S ribosomal RNA
Rfam family: Bacterial small subunit ribosomal RNA
Source: RNAcentral